This 1590-nucleotide ribosomal RNA is filed under the name Liparochrus sp. NLG-2014. RNAcentral's name for it is "partial 16S ribosomal RNA". The record is from RNAcentral. Lineage: Eukaryota; Metazoa; Arthropoda; Insecta; Coleoptera; Hybosoridae.
AAUUGAUAGUCCACGAUUAAUUAAACUUAUUUUAAAAAUUUGUAUAUCGUCGUAGUUUAAUAUUUUAUAAGAAUUUUAAUAUUAAGGAAUUAUUAUAAUAAAAUAAAUCAGAUCAAGGUGCAGUUUAUAAAUAAGUAGAAAUGGGUUACAAUAAAUUUAUUUAAAUGGAUUAAGAAAUUAAAAUUUUUAUGAAGGUGGAUUUGAAAGUAAUAAAAUUAAGUUAAAUUUUAUGAUUUAGGCUCUAAGGUAUGCACAUAUUGCCCGUCACUUCCGCUUAAAGUGGGAUAAGUCGUAACAAAGUAGAUGUACUGGAAAGUGUAUCUAGAAUGACAAAUUAGAGCUUGUUAAGCAUUUUAGUUACAUUAAAAAGAAAAUUGUUAAUUCAGUUUAAUUUGAGUUGAAGAUUUUAUAUAAAUUUUUAUAAUUAAAGUAUUAUAUAGUUUAAUUAAAUUAAUGAAAUAAUUAUUAUAAUGAUAGUUAAUUAGUAUAGUGAUAGAAAAAUUAAAUAUUUGAAAUAUUAAAAUUUAUAGAAGAAGAUUUUAUAUUUUGUACCUUGUGUAUCAGGGUUUAUUAAUUAAUAAUUAAUUAUUUAAUAUUCUCGAAUUCUUAAGAGUUAAAAAAUUAUAAAUUUUAUUGUAAAAUAACUAUUUAGAAUAAUUUUUUAGUAAUGAAACGUUAUUCGUUUAAGAAAAUAUCUAGUUUCUUAAGAAAUAAAUUUAAUUUAUUUAUUAUAUUAUAUAUAAUUUAUUAUUUAAUUAUUAUAUAUAUAAUAUUUAAUAUUUUAAGGGAUAAGCUUUAAAAUAAAAUUUUAUAAAUAUUAUUUGUUAAUAAAAAUAUAUAGGAUUAGAAGUUUCUUUAUUAUUGUGUGUUAUAACUAAUUUUUAUUAAUAUUUGAUUUAUAUUUAUUUUAGGUUUUAUAUUAAGAUAGUUAAUUUAAUGUUAAAGUUAAUGAAAUAAUGAUAAAAUUAGUAUAAGUUAAUGUAUUUUUAAUUUUAAGAUUAAGGUUAAAUUAAGGAAUUCGGCAAAGUAAUUUCUCGCCUGUUUAUUAAAAACAUGUCUUUUUGAUAAUAAUUUAAAGUCUAAUCUGCCCAAUGAGUAUAUUGAAUGGCCGCGGUAUUUUGACCGUGCAAAGGUAGCAUAAUAAUUAGUUUUUUAAUUAAAAGCUGGUAUGAAUGAUUGAACGAGGAAAUAGCUGUCUCAAUUUAAAUUAAUUAGAAUUUUAUUUUUAAGUUAAAAAGCUUAAAUAAAUAUAAAAGACGAGAAGACCCUAUAGAGUUUAAUAUAUAAAUUAUUAUUAAUUUUUAAGUAUUAAAUAGUUUAUAAUAAUUAAUAUAUUUAAUUGGGGUGAUUGAAAAAUUUAAAGAACUUUUUUUUAUAUAAAAACAUUAAUGUAUGAAUUUUUGAUCCAUUGUUUUUGAUUAUAAGAUUAAAUUACCUUAGGGAUAACAGCGUAAUUUUUUUUAAGAGUUCUUAUCGAAAAAAAAGUUUGCGACCUCGAUGUUGGAUUAAAAUUAAUUUUUGGCGUAAAAGUUAGAAGUUUAGGUCUGUUCGACCUUUAAAAUUUUACAUGAUCUGAGUUCAAACCGGAGA